This 1974-nucleotide long non-coding RNA is filed under the name Pelobates cultripes (western spadefoot toad). The record is from RNAcentral. Lineage: Eukaryota; Metazoa; Chordata; Amphibia; Anura; Pelobatidae.
GGCUUUUAUACAUAGUUUGCUUACAUUAGCCAUGGUAUAUGCAAAUACAGUACAGACUAUAAGAUUUAUUACUUCCUUAUAUUACGUUAUUCUGACAAUGGAAAGAUAAGCUUUUGCAUACGUCUGGAAAAGAAUAUCCUUAAAAUCGGAAUGGGCAAGACAUCCUGAAAUUUUAGCAUUGUCUUACAUCCUAUAGAAGAAAUACCUUAGUCUGUCACAGUCAGCAUAUUGACUUUAAGUAUUCAAUAUCCCUUCAGUCAGCAAUAAUCAUGUUAUAAACCUUAUAAAAGCAUAAAAUACAUAUAAACAAGUUAACUAUUUAAUAUUCUUACAUUCCCCUCUUUGAGCAAUAAAACAAUUGCUCAUCUUAUCGAUAAAAUCUUACCAGGACAGAGAAACUUCCACAUGGUAUUUUCAGGGGUGCUAGUCACUCCCUGCGGGACUUUCAUUAAUUUCUUCACCUCGAUUCCCAUGUGGUAAUUCCUAAGGCCUAGUUUAAAAAUGGGUUGAUACUCUAUAGUGGCAGAGAGGAGAAUUUUUAAUUGUUUCUGUUCUGCAUUAUGGAUUCAUUUCUGUACUCUCUUCCUCAAUGUACAAGUAAGGUGACAGUUAUAUAAAAUCAUACACAAUAAAAUCAGGACUAUAAUAACAAAAUGAUAGAAGAAUGAUUUCAUUAUCUGAGAUCCAGUAGGGGACCAACCAGUAAAGCAUUGUACCAAUCAUGGGCUAAAUCAUUCUGAAUUUGUGAACUCACCUUAAGGAGUUCUCCUUUUAGGAUAUGUGUGGCUACCUGUGUGUGUUAUCUUUGGGGAAAAUAUAGUCCCCUGUGUAUGUGGGUGCCCACCAGGUUAAAUUCUUGGCAAAAAGAUCAUAAACUGGUACUGGUAAUGUGUUAAAUUGACAAGCUAAUUUAACAUCCUUUGAUGAUGUAUGAUAUAAUGUAAAAUAACAUGAGCAUGAAAAAUGUGAAACAUUACCAGUUAACCAUCCAUUGCAUUUACUGGAUUGGGGUUUUAGAAGUAACCAUUCAUUAUCUGUGAGGUUACACAUUCCUCUAAUCUUCUCUAGUUUAGGAAUCAUUAGUGUGUUUUCUAAUGCCAAUCCUUGUUGUUGUAUCCAUAAAUACCUGAUGGCACAAGUACUCCAGUUACCGAGAUCUGUAGUGAAUUUCAUAGUUGCAACAGUUAAAUUAUCUAAAUAAUUAUACAUUGAUUUAUCUAAAUCCAAUCCUAUAACCUGUGAUUUAACAACAAUUGGAGCCCAAUUUGCAGUAGCAUGAAAACCAGUCCCUAUAUGCAUGCUGGCUGUGUUUAACUUAUUCUUGAGGGUCUCCAUAUCUAUAACUAUUUAGUAUACCCAUAGUGGUUCCAGCACCUCCUAACAGUGUGUCAUACCAUUCCCUUUUCUGCCUUUUGUUUGCUGUGUUACAUAAUGUUACAACAGGAGUAGUGAUUUUUAAUGACACAUGUACAGCUUGUAAGAAGACAGUUGUAUUAACACAUGUGGAUGGAAUAGGUGUGUGUGUGUCGUGGUUGACUUUUGGUUCUAUGGUAGUGGAUAAAGGACAGUAAUAAGGUGUAAAAAUAUAAGGUAGUGUAUAGUUCUCAAUUGUAGUGUUGUUCAUAAUGACUAACAUUUGUCCCCUUUUCCAAUUAAUGAUACCAGUUAUAUAAUCAUUAUUAAAAGUAAUAAGGCCUGUCUGUUUACAUUGAUAUGCAACCUUAACUGUGCACAUUUCUGCGUUAUAAGAUCUAACAAUUUUCUGUGAACCUUUAAACAAACAUAAUGCAUCGGUUUCAUUAGCUGUAGACACAUUUCAUAUGGGUAACUGGUACUUAUAAGGGUUACUAUUUGUCCAAUUCAUCCAAAUGCGUUCAGUGAAUGAAUGAUUGCAUAUUACAUGCUGAUAGAAAGGUGGUGGAGAAAGGUUCUUGAGGGGGCGUGUGUGACGAAUGCUAGAUGAGGGGCUAAGGC